UGCAGUUUUAUUUCAAACAUCCCCACUGGAAAGCGGCAUGAAAAAAACAUUUGGGAUGUGAACACUAAGCUUGGUGCAGGUAUUACCAGCAGUGGAAUAGGUUUCUCUAAUUUACAAAUGUUAUUUGCUUCAUUGAAUAUCCCUGGUGUAGCGGCUGGAACAGUCAAGAAAAGAGACAGAGAAGCAGGAAAGGCUAUUGAAUCUGUUGCCAAAAAAAGUUGCAAUGAGGCUCUUGAUGAAGAAAUAAAACUGAAUGAUGGGAAAGUUGAAAUAAGAGUUGCGGCUGAUGCUGGAUGGCAAACAAGAUCUAG
This is a long non-coding RNA of Saccostrea cuccullata (small rock oyster), 311 nucleotides long. RefSeq lists it as uncharacterized. The transcript has 3 exons. The record is from RefSeq and is a predicted model, not a curated record. Lineage: Eukaryota; Metazoa; Mollusca; Bivalvia; Ostreida; Ostreidae.